This 980-nucleotide ribosomal RNA is filed under the name Salmonella enterica. RNAcentral's name for it is "bacterial SSU rRNA". It matches the Rfam family "Bacterial small subunit ribosomal RNA", at positions 1 to 970 of the family's 1533-position model. Lineage: Bacteria; Pseudomonadati; Pseudomonadota; Gammaproteobacteria; Enterobacterales; Enterobacteriaceae. The record is from RNAcentral.
AAAUUGAAGAGUUUGAUCAUGGCUCAGAUUGAACGCUGGCGGCAGGCCUAACACAUGCAAGUCGAACGGUAACAGGAAGCAGCUUGCUGCUUUGCUGACGAGUGGCGGACGGGUGAGUAAUGUCUGGGAAACUGCCUGAUGGAGGGGGAUAACUACUGGAAACGGUGGCUAAUACCGCAUAACGUCGCAAGACCAAAGAGGGGGACCUUCGGGCCUCUUGCCAUCAGAUGUGCCCAGAUGGGAUUAGCUUGUUGGUGAGGUAACGGCUCACCAAGGCGACGAUCCCUAGCUGGUCUGAGAGGAUGACCAGCCACACUGGAACUGAGACACGGUCCAGACUCCUACGGGAGGCAGCAGUGGGGAAUAUUGCACAAUGGGCGCAAGCCUGAUGCAGCCAUGCCGCGUGUAUGAAGAAGGCCUUAGGGUUGUAAAGUACUUUCAGCGGGGAGGAAGGUGUUGCGGUUAAUAACCGCAGCAAUUGACGUUACCCGCAGAAGAAGCACCGGCUAACUCCGUGCCAGCAGCCGCGGUAAUACGGAGGGUGCAAGCGUUAAUCGGAAUUACUGGGCGUAAAGCGCACGCAGGCGGUCUGUCAAGUCGGAUGUGAAAUCCCCGGGCUCAACCUGGGAACUGCAUUCGAAACUGGCAGGCUUGAGUCUUGUAGAGGGGGGUAGAAUUCCAGGUGUAGCGGUGAAAUGCGUAGAGAUCUGGAGGAAUACCGGUGGCGAAGGCGGCCCCCUGGACAAAGACUGACGCUCAGGUGCGAAAGCGUGGGGAGCAAACAGGAUUAGAUACCCUGGUAGUCCACGCCGUAAACGAUGUCUACUUGGAGGUUGUGCCCUUGAGGCGUGGCUUCCGGAGCUAACGCGUUAAGUAGACCGCCUGGGGAGUACGGCCGCAAGGUUAAAACUCAAAUGAAUUGACGGGGGCCCGCACAAGCGGUGGAGCAUGUGGUUUAAUUCGAUGCAACGCGAAGAACC